This 467-nucleotide ribosomal RNA is filed under the name uncultured bacterium. RNAcentral describes it as "partial 16S ribosomal RNA". It matches the Rfam family "Bacterial small subunit ribosomal RNA", at positions 28 to 507 of the family's 1533-position model. The record is from RNAcentral.
GACGAACGCUGGCGGCGUGCUUAACACAUGCAAGUCGAACGGAAAGGCCCUGCUUUUGUGGGGUGCUCGAGUGGCGAACGGGUGAGUAACACGUGAGUAACCUGCCCUUGACUUUGGGAUAACUUCAGGAAACUGGGGCUAAUACCGGAUAGGAGCUCCUGCUGCAUGUUGGGGUUGGAAAGUUUCGGCGGUUGGGGAUGGACGGGAGGGUUAUCAGCUUGUUGGUGGGGUAGUGGCUUACCAAGGCUUUGCCGGGUAGCCCGCCCGAGAGGGUGAACGGGCACAUUGGGACUGCGAUAGGGACCAGACUGCUACGGGACGCAGCAGUGGGGAAUAUUGCACAAUGGGCGGAAGCCUGAUGCAGCAGCGCCGCGUGCGGGAUGACGGCCUUCGGGUUAUAAACCGCUUUCGCCGUUGACGAAGCGUGAGUGACGGUAAUGGGUAAAGAAGCACCGGCUAACUACGUG